GAUGAAGAACGCAGCAAAAUGCGAUAAGUAAUGUGAAUUGCAGAAUUCAGUGAAUCAUCGAAUCUUUGAACGCACAUUGCGCCCGCUGGUAUUCCGGCGGGCAUGCCUGUUCGAGCGUCAUUUCAACCCUCAAGCCCCCCGGGUUUGGUGUUGGGGAUCGGCUCUGCCUCACGGCGGUGCCGCCCCCGUAAUACAUUGGCGGUCUCGCUGCAGCCUCCAUUGCGUAGUAGCUAACACCUCGCAACUGGAACGCGGCGCGGCCAUGCCGUAAAACCCCAACUUCUGAAUGUUGACCUCGGAUCAGGUAGGAAUACCCGCUGAACUUAAGCAUAUCAAUAAGCGGAGGA
Molecule: unclassified non-coding RNA, 347 nt
Filed under: soil metagenome
Description: partial contains 5.8S ribosomal RNA, internal transcribed spacer 2, and large subunit ribosomal RNA
Rfam family: 5.8S ribosomal RNA (bases 1-120)
Source: RNAcentral